This is a small nucleolar RNA of Malania oleifera, 106 nucleotides long. NCBI's taxonomy places the organism in Eukaryota, Viridiplantae, Streptophyta, Magnoliopsida, Santalales, Ximeniaceae. The record is from RefSeq and is a predicted model, not a curated record.
ACUUGGUGAUGUGGGCAUUUUCACAAGAGGUACUUAAACUGCUCCUAUGUAUCAAAAAAUUAUUCCCCAUCCAAUUGUGAGAAACUAGUGAUUCCCUUCCUUAGUU